AUUGAACGCUGGCGGCAGGCCUAACACAUGCAAGUCGAACGAGUGGCGGACGGGCGAGUAAUGUCUGGAAAACUGUCCGAUGGAGGGGGAUAACUACGGGAAACGGUAGCUAAUACCGCAAACCAUGGGAUGGGCCCAGUCGGGAUUAGCUAGUUGGUGGGGUAACGGCUCACCGAGGCGACGAUCCCUAGCUGGUCUGAGAGGAUGACCAGCCACCCUGGAACUGAGCCACGGCCCAGACUCCUACGGGAGGCAGCAGUGGGGAAUCUUGCACAAUGGGCGAAAGCCUUAUGCAGCAAUGCCGCGUGUAUGAAGAAGGCUUUCGGGUUGUAAAGUUCUUUCAUCGAGGAGGCGUUACUCGCAGAAGAAGCCCCGGCUAACUCCGUGCCAGCAGCCGCGGUAAUUC
RNAcentral lists this ribosomal RNA (406 nucleotides) under uncultured bacterium. RNAcentral describes it as "partial 16S ribosomal RNA". It matches the Rfam family "Bacterial small subunit ribosomal RNA", at positions 30 to 526 of the family's 1533-position model. The record is from RNAcentral.